Long non-coding RNA from Callithrix jacchus (white-tufted-ear marmoset), 1626 nucleotides. Lineage: Eukaryota; Metazoa; Chordata; Mammalia; Primates; Cebidae. The record is from Ensembl.
GGACACAGUAUUUACUGCUAUUCUUCUAUUUUUACAUGUCUUUUCAGAAAAAUAUCUAUGUAUACAAAAUGAAUACAUAAUGAAAGAAAACAGGCAAAAUUGACAUACUUGCCAGCAUCUUUCGAAUUCUCACCAUUGUCACCUGUCACCUGGCAACAGUAACUUCAACUGCCACAUUCAAAGCCCCUGUCUUUUGAUAUAGUACAUAAGCUCCUUUUCUCCAAUUCCCCUGCAUUUUCCAUUGGUAGGAAUAUUGGGAAUCUAAGAUGCUAAAUAACUCAGCGAUGACAACAAUAAGCAAACCCGUAAAUGUGCUGAGCAUGAAGCAGGCACUCAGGAGAUUCCUGUUGUUUGAGUGAUGAUGGAGAUUGUGGUUUUGGUGAUAUUCGUGAUUUGGUAGCCACCCAGACCCCUAAGCGAAAGAAGUCAAAGAAAAUGUACCUUGCGAGUAUUGAUUUCUCAUUAAAUAUUGAAUCUGUAUAAAGACAUUCAACAAGAUGCUGAAGAAGUACAUGGAAUACCCAUCAAUUUAUCACUCAGAAAAUUAGAUGUAGAAAAGAAACUCACUGACUUCUGAAAGCAAUAAACCUUGGAAGAGUCAAACUGACCCUCAGACUUAUUAACACUCUCAAAUAAGAGACAGAAUCAAACUGUAAAGAGACUAUUUUCUGAAUUAUCUUUGCUAUUAAUCUAUUUUAUAGGCUCAUUGAUUUUUAAAAAAUUAUAUGCUUACUUUCAUAUAUGAUGAAACAUAUACAUCAUGUAUGUUUACAAAUAUAUACCUUUACUUUCUUAAUUACAUAUAAUGAAGUAAUUUAAAAUAAAAUGUAACCAUAGAAGUUGAGCCAGCAGCCCUAUUAAUGAACACAGGAUAGGAUUAUGAAUUGGUACGAUGGAAACCAUUUGCACUCAGGCAGGUAGGCAUACCUCCCUCAGUUACGGUCACCACUAUUGAAAUGAAAGGUAUCCUUUGACUUAAAAUAAUUUAAUUUUCAAGGAAUAUUUAACUUUUCUAGCUGAAGUCUUUAUAAAAUAUUCUUUAACAUCAACUGGGUUGAAGAAAAGGACAGAAUAAUCACAUCGGCAAAUAAUAGUAGGUAAAGAACAAUAGAUGAAACAGAGAGAUACUGAAAAGAAGACUUGAAGACUAAUAUUUGAACAGACUAACACAAGGAAUCAAGCCAAAAUAUUUCAUGGAGUUAAACAAUCAUGAAAUACCCUAUUUCAAUAACGUGCUUCUACUUAAUUGCCGCUGACAGAGACUUGACUUGUAAUAUUCAGAUUUAGUCCUUUACCUCUGCAUUCUACUUCAUAUUAGGCCAAGAAGUUGAACUCAAACAAGGCGUUAAUUGUUAAAAUAUCUUGUUUCAUACGUUCUGGUUUAGAACUUCCUUACCAAUAUGUGUGUCCUCAAAUUAACUUAUCUGGCUGCCAAUUUCAUUUUGAGAAAUAUUUUUGACAUUUACUAAUGCAAAAAGUUGUGUCCCACUUGCUCUUAAGUCAUACUUAUAUCAGCUUUCCCUUUUAUGACCUCAAAUAAAAAAACAGUAAUUGAUAAAAUCGGCCAGGACACUUGAGGAGCUAUCCUUCAAUUUCCAAUAUAUUACAGACCCCUCAUUACAAUGA